CCUACGGGUGGCAGCAGUCGAGAAUCAUUCACAAUGGGGGAAACCCUGAUGGUGCGACGCCGCGUGGGGGAAUGAAGGUCUUCGGAUUGUAAACCCCUGUCAUGUGGGAGCAAAUUAAAAAGAUAGUACCACAAGAGGAAGAGACGGCUAACUCUGUUCCAGCAGCCGCGGUAAUACAGAGGUCUCAAGCGUUGUUCGGAAUCACUGGGCGUAAAGCGUGCGUAGGCUGUUUCGUAAGUCGUGUGUGAAAGGUGCGGGCUCAACCCGCGGAUGGCACAUGAUACUGCGAGACUAGAGUAAUGGAGGGGGAAGCGGAAUUCUCGGUGUAGCAGUGAAAUGCGUAGAUAUCGAGAGGAACACUCGUGGCGAAGGCGGGUUCCUGGACAUUAACUGACGCUGAGGCACGAAGGUCAGGGGAGCGAAAGGGAUUAGAUACCCGGGUAGUC
This 446-nucleotide ribosomal RNA is filed under the name uncultured bacterium. RNAcentral's name for it is "partial 16S ribosomal RNA". It matches the Rfam family "Bacterial small subunit ribosomal RNA", at positions 338 to 795 of the family's 1533-position model. The record is from RNAcentral.